CUGUACUACUGAGGAGUAUGAGUUGGCCUGCAGACAGAGGUUUGCUGAGGACAACAUCAUGUAUGAGUGACUCAUCAUCUACUUGAGGACCAGAAGGCAUGCCUUUGGACUUAAGGGUGUUGAGCAGCGGAAAGUAUUGCGAUGGGCACGCCCCUUCCAGUGGGAUGAACAGGAGUGGACCAUGAUGGGAAGCCUCGGCAGCUCGUGGUGAGGUCUUUUGAGGAGGUUGCUGCUGUGAUCACAGCAGUCCCACUGCAGGGCAUAGCGGCUGGGUUACCACUUGUCAGAAUGUCUCCUCAGUUUACUAUUGGCGAAACAUGACCCAGGACAUGAAACAUUAUAUUGAAACAUGUAGUAAGUGCCAGCACUACACGCCAAUGAAGACAAAGGCCCCAGAGAUGCGUCCCAUAAAGGUGAAGGAGCCGUUGGAACUUAUAGGAGUCGACUUGGUCGGUGAGGAU
This is a long non-coding RNA of Eriocheir sinensis (Chinese mitten crab), 461 nucleotides long. RefSeq lists it as uncharacterized. The transcript is spliced from 3 exons. The record is from RefSeq and is a predicted model, not a curated record. NCBI's taxonomy places the organism in Eukaryota, Metazoa, Arthropoda, Malacostraca, Decapoda, Varunidae.